This 367-nucleotide ribosomal RNA is filed under the name uncultured bacterium. RNAcentral's name for it is "bacterial SSU rRNA". It matches the Rfam family "Bacterial small subunit ribosomal RNA", at positions 29 to 377 of the family's 1533-position model. The record is from RNAcentral.
AACGAACGCUGGCGGCGUGCCUAACACAUGCAAGUCGUGCGGGAAAGUAGGGGCAACUCUACAAGUACAGCGGCGCACGGGUGAGUAACACGUAGGUAACCUGCCUCGGAGACUGGGAUAGCCUGUCGAAAGACGGGCUAAUACCGGAUACGACCACGGGGAGUUGAGGCUUUCGUGGUGAAAGGUGGCCUCUGCUUGCAAGCUACCAAUCUGAGAUGGGCCUGCGCGCCAUUAGCUAGUUGGUGAGGUAACGGCCACCAAGGCAGAGAUGGCUAGCUGGUCUGAGAGGAUGGCCAGCCACACUGGGACUGAGACACGGCCCAGACUCCUACGGGAGGCAGCAGUGGGGAAUAUUGCGCAAUGGGCG